AUGGGAGUGAAAAACUCCCACGCCGAAAGACCAAGGUUUCCUGCGCAACGCUAAUCGGCGCAGGGUGAGUCGGCCCCUAAGGCGAGGCUGAAGAGCGUAGUCGAUGGGAAACAGGUUAAUAUUCCUGUACCGGUUUAUAUUGCGAUGGAGUGACGGAGAAAGCUAGGCCAGCAUGGCGAUGGUUGUCCAUGUUUAAGGUAGUAGGCUGGGGAAUUAGGCAAAUCCGGUUCCCUAAGGCCGAGAACUGAUGACGAGAUCGACUUUGUCGAUUGAAGUGGUUGAUGCUCUGCUUCCAGGAAAACCUUCUAAGCUUCAGAUAUAAAGCGACCGUACCCCAAACCGACACAGGUGGUCAGGUAGAG
RNAcentral lists this ribosomal RNA (362 nucleotides) under Isochrysis galbana. RNAcentral describes it as "partial Bacterial large subunit ribosomal RNA". It matches the Rfam family "Bacterial large subunit ribosomal RNA", at positions 1315 to 1676 of the family's 2925-position model. Lineage: Eukaryota; Haptophyta; Isochrysidales; Isochrysidaceae. The record is from RNAcentral.